AGUCGAGGGGUAUAUGUCUUCGGAUAUAGAGACCGGCGCACGGGUGCGUAACGCGUAUGCAAUCUGCCUUUCACAGAGGGAUAGCCCAGAGAAAUUUGGAUUAAUACCUCAUAGCAUUAUGGAAUGGCAUCAUUUUAUAAUUAAAGUCACAACGGUGAAAGAUGAGCAUGCGUCCCAUUAGCUAGUUGGUAAGGUAACGGCUUACCAAGGCGACGAUGGGUAGGGGUCCUGAGAGGGAGAUCCCCCACACUGGUACUGAGACACGGACCAGACUCCUACGGGAGGCAGCAGUGAGGAAUAUUGGUCAAUGGGCGCAAGCCUGAACCAGCCAUGCCGCGUGCAGGAUGACGGUCCUAUGGAUUGUAAACUGCUUUUGUACGAGAAGAAACACUCCUUCGUGAAGGAGCUUGACGGUAUCGUAAGAAUAAGGAUCGGCUAACUCCGUGCCAGCAGCCGCGGUAAUACGGAGGAUCCAAGCGUUAUCCGGAAUCAUUGGGUUUAAAGGGUCCGUAGGCGGUUUGGUAAGUCAGUGGUGAAAGCCCAUCGCUCAACGGUGGAACGGCCAUUGAUACUGCUAAACUUGAAUUAUUGGGAAGUAACUAGAAUAUGUAGUGUAGCGGUGAAAUGCUUAGAGAUUACAUGGAAUACCAAUUGCGAAGGCAGGUUACU
Molecule: ribosomal RNA, 669 nt
Filed under: Flavobacterium sp. S146.08.SCU.W.Gill.N
Lineage: Bacteria; Pseudomonadati; Bacteroidota; Flavobacteriia; Flavobacteriales; Flavobacteriaceae
Description: bacterial SSU rRNA
Rfam family: Bacterial small subunit ribosomal RNA
Source: RNAcentral